This is a long non-coding RNA of Toxotes jaculatrix (banded archerfish), 657 nucleotides long. RefSeq lists it as uncharacterized. The transcript is spliced from 4 exons. The record is from RefSeq and is a predicted model, not a curated record. Lineage: Eukaryota; Metazoa; Chordata; Actinopteri; Toxotidae.
CGGCAAUGAUAGUAGCUCUAAGUAAAUGUAACGUUAGCUGUUUGUCAUUUGAACGUUAGCUGUUUGAUUACUAAACAGUCACCUCUAAACUUUCCCCAAACACGUCGGGAGGUUGUUCCACUGAAGAGACAUCUCAACGUCCCAACAGUAUCCACAGCCUUUUUAUCAGCCUGUUGUAUGAGCCAGUAGAGGGAGUCCAAGGCUUAAAUCCUGUUUCUAACUUCUGAUUCGAAGGUUUUUGGGACAACUUGACAUAUGGGAGGCAACAAAGUACAGACACAACAGUCACAAAGAAAGCAAGCAACAGGUAACAAAAAGGUCAGAAGUCAGCCUCAGGUCAUCGUCACCUCCUGACCUCCUUACAAUGCGUCUAAAUGUCUAACUGUGUUUCUGCUACAUGGAACCUGUGACUGUGUAUCCCUGAAAGUGACAGUGACUGGUAGGGUUGAGGUUGGAUGACUUUAUUGUUUAUUCUCCAGGGAGAAGUCCAUUUAUCAUACUGAGAGGAGGAGGUGUGAGUGGGAGUAGUCUGAUGACAUGGGCUGCUGCACCACAGAGAACAGUUGUAUGUGUAUAUACUGUUGGUAGGAUGUGCAGAAGAAAUGUUUGUUACUGAUAUUGAUAAGGAGAGCAACUGUGUUAUGCAAGCAAGACAAA